GGGAUUCGCCGCUACCAAGACAAGAUACGGGACUGCAUGAAGGAACUGGACUUUAUCUUCCGGGAACUGCAAGAUAAACUCACCAAACAAAUGAAGUGUAACAGCACAAAACCAAAUCAAAGGAUCGGCGUGUGACAGAUAUAAACAAAAUUUUUGAUUCACAUACGGCCAGAAGAAAAAGAGAGGUGAAAAACAAACAUCAGAACUGAGAUGGAAAGGAAAAGUUAAAUAUUGUUUAAAAUUACCUUUAAUGAUGAGAAUCUGCCAAGUGUCUUGACCUCCCCUGUAUCCCU
Molecule: long non-coding RNA, 293 nt
Organism: Neopelma chrysocephalum (saffron-crested tyrant-manakin)
Lineage: Eukaryota; Metazoa; Chordata; Aves; Passeriformes; Pipridae
Exons: 3
Source: RefSeq, a predicted model, not a curated record